UACGGAGGGUGCAAGCGUUAUCCGGAUUCACUGGGUUUUAAGGGUGCGUAGGUGGGAAGGUAAGUCAGUGGUGAAAUCCCCGAGCUUAACUUGGGAACUGCCAUUGAUACUAUCUUUCUUGAAUACCUUGGAGGUGAGCGGAAUAUGUCAUGUAGCGGUGAAAUGCUUAGAUAUGACAUAGAACACCAAUUGCGAAGGCAGCUCACUACACGGUCAUUGACACUGAGGCACGAAAGCGUGGGGAGCAAACGGG
Molecule: ribosomal RNA, 253 nt
Filed under: uncultured bacterium
Lineage: Bacteria
Description: partial 16S ribosomal RNA
Rfam family: Bacterial small subunit ribosomal RNA
Source: RNAcentral